RNAcentral lists this ribosomal RNA (1037 nucleotides) under Prymnesium parvum. RNAcentral's name for it is "partial Bacterial large subunit ribosomal RNA". It matches the Rfam family "Bacterial large subunit ribosomal RNA", at positions 16 to 1153 of the family's 2925-position model. The record is from RNAcentral. Lineage: Eukaryota; Haptophyta; Prymnesiales; Prymnesiaceae.
AGUAUGAGAUGGAUAUCUAGGCAUAUGAAAUUAAGGACGUAGCGUAUUUACGAAAAGUUGUGAUGAGAAACGCAAUCUACUAUGAAUCACAAAUCUCCUAGGGUAAACCAUACGUUUUAGUAUUUACUACUAAAUUAAUUGAAACAUCUUAUUAGUUUAAGGAAUAGAAAUCAAACGAGAUUUCAUUAGUAGUGGCGAGCGAAAAUGAAUUAGAGUACAUACAAUAAAAAAGUUAAAUAAUUUGAAAUAAUUAACUAUAAAAGGUUAAAGUCCUGUAAGCUUUUGCGUAUAUUUGUAGUAGAAGAGAUUUCGAGGAGAUCUCUUUGAAUAUUGGAGGACCAUACUUCAAACUCUAAAUAUCUUCAUAUGACCGAUAGAAUAAAGUACUGUGAAGGAAAGAUGAAAAGAAUUCUUAGAUGGAAGUGAAAAGAUUUUGAAAUCUAAUACUCUCAACCGACCGAAGUAUUUAAAAUAUGACGGUGUGCCUUUUGUAUCAUGCAUUAGCGACUUUAAAUUUACAGCAAGCUUAAAUUGUUAAAUGUAAGCGUAGUUAAAGCAAGUGUUCAGUAUACACUAAAUAGUUGUAAAUUUAAGACCCGAAUCCAAGUGAUCUAGUUAUGAACAGGUUGAAUGCAUAAUAAUUUAUGUUGGAAGACCUAACUCGUAACUGUUGCAAAAGUUUGAGAUGAUUUGUAAUUAGGGGUGAAAGGCCAAUCAAACUUGGUGAUAGCUGGUUUUCCACGAAAUAUAUUUAGGUAUAGCGUAAUUUUAGGUAGCAAAGGGUAGAGCUCUUUUUAAACUAGGGGAGUCAAUAAACUUUACUGAAUUUAGAUAAACUACGAAUAUUUGCUAAAUUUAAGAUUAUAGUCAGACUUUGAGUGCUAAGAUUUUAAGUCAAGAGGGAAACAGCCCAGAUUAUUAACUAAGGCCCAUAAAUGAAAGCUAAGUGAUAAAGAAAGUGAUUAGACCAAGAUAGUUAGAAGGUGAGCUUGGAAGCAGCUAUCCUUUAAAAAAUGCGUAAUUGCAUACUAAUUGAA